This 253-nucleotide ribosomal RNA is filed under the name uncultured bacterium. RNAcentral's name for it is "partial 16S ribosomal RNA". It matches the Rfam family "Bacterial small subunit ribosomal RNA", at positions 524 to 776 of the family's 1533-position model. The record is from RNAcentral.
UACGGGGGGGGCAAGCGUUGUUCGGAAUUACUGGGCGUAAAGGGCUCGUAGGCGGCCAACUAAGUCAGACGUGAAAUCCCUCGGCUUAACCGGGGAACUGCGUCUGAUACUGGAUGGCUUGAGUCCGGGAGAGGGAUGCGGAAUUCCAGGUGUAGCGGUGAAAUGCGUAGAUAUCGAGAGGAACACCGGUGGCGAAGGCGGUUCUCUGGGCCUUACCUGACGCUGAGGAGCGAAAGCGUGGGGAGCGAACAGG